UACGUAGGUGGCAAGCGUUGUCCGGAAUUAUUGGGCGUAAAGCGCGCGCAGGCGGUCCUUUAAGUCUGAUGUGAAAUCCCACGGCUCAACCGUGGAAGGUCAUUGGAAACUGGGGGACUUGAGUACAGAAGAGGAAAGCGGAAUUCCAAGUGUAGCGGUGAAAUGCGUAGAGAUUUGGAGGAACACCAGUGGCGAAGGCGGCUUUCUGGUCUGUAACUGACGCUGAGGCGCGAAAGCGUGGGGAGCAAACGGG
Molecule: ribosomal RNA, 253 nt
Filed under: uncultured bacterium
Lineage: Bacteria
Description: partial 16S ribosomal RNA
Rfam family: Bacterial small subunit ribosomal RNA
Source: RNAcentral